GGGCCGCACCCGAGGAGGCGGGGACUGCGCGGGGCCGUGCGCGGCGGGUCCGCCGUGCCCCGGGAGGAAAGGCAGAACUGCUGCAUCUCCCUUGCUGUUUCGAAAUGCAUUGUUGGACCACAUGGAAGUAGUUUAAUUGUGGGAUGCUUAUUCCAUCCAGUUCCAUGCUGGUUAUGGCUGUAUUCCUUCUCAUCAGAUACCUUCCAGCAAAAGUUGUUGCUCUGUCAGCACACCAGUGCAAAGAGAGAGGAACUGAAAUCCCAGAGCCUCUUGACAAGCUGCUUUAUGUAAUGAUUUAUCUAUGGUUUUGUUCUGCUGGUAGCGUUCAUGGUGAAACAGUUGAUGCCUUCAUGACUUCCCCAGACUUAGGAAAGAACUAUAUGGUCAUAUACUGAUAAUAAAAAGUGGGAAAAAAAAUCCUGGAAAACAGAAGUUUUAAUUUUCUGUUGUGUGAUUUGUACAAAUGAACGAAAUAAAUGAAACUGGCUAAGAAAAAGAAAAGCUGUUCUUGUUGCCAGGUAGUUGUAUGAAGUAUUGAUUAGAGAAAUUACUGAAAGGCUAGGAACAUGCGGAGUAGCCAAAUAGGGCAGACUCAUUAAAAUGGUUUCAGCACUGGUAGAACUUACGCAUAUGAUACUAGCUGUGGUGUUUUAUAGUUUGAUAAUUGUAUUAGCCUCGUUCCUAUUUCUGCAUAGGCUUUACAAAAGUCAGAUGACUGGGACAUGUCUCUGAAAAUAUGCCAGGCUACUCUUGUAAGAUAUGAUUGAACAAUAUGUUUGAUGCUUGACACUACUGGGUCAGCAUAGCAUUAAUAUGAUAAAACUGAAGGAACUAUUAGUGACUCAAAUUCAAAUUUUUCACUUAUCAGUCUCAUCCAAGUACAUUCCUCUGAAACAUUUUAAGUCUGACAUGACUAAAUUUACUAGAUGUGGUUUAACUGACUUGGUAACAUUUUCUCUUGAAAGGUGUUUGAUGUAGCUAAUAGAGCUGUCUUGGAAAAAUAACAAAUCUCUGGAUGAGAAAUAUUUCAGCUUAAUAGAGCAUACAGUGACUGUAAAGAACGUGCUUUUAAUUUAGCAAGUUCACAAAUCAAGUUACUUUUACAAGGGAAAUUAGGUUUGUUACUUUCAUCAAUGUUAUUGCUGUACACUGUUCUGCUGUAGCCCUCAAUUUAACUUUCCUGAUUAUGAAAGUA
Molecule: long non-coding RNA, 1195 nt
Organism: Falco peregrinus (peregrine falcon)
Lineage: Eukaryota; Metazoa; Chordata; Aves; Falconiformes; Falconidae
Exons: 3
Source: RefSeq, a predicted model, not a curated record